Molecule: microRNA precursor, 59 nt
Filed under: Parasteatoda tepidariorum (common house spider)
Lineage: Eukaryota; Metazoa; Arthropoda; Arachnida; Araneae; Theridiidae
Description: microRNA pte-mir-11962a precursor
Source: miRBase by way of RNAcentral
CAUAUUUCAGAAAUGGCAUCAAGUAAUUUUCACAACUGAUGUCAUUUUUGAAGUAUGCA